RNAcentral lists this non-coding RNA (95 nucleotides) under bovine gut metagenome. Its description in RNAcentral is "SAM riboswitch (S box leader)". It matches the Rfam family "SAM riboswitch aptamer (S box leader)". From Rfam's summary of the family: The SAM riboswitch is found upstream of a number of genes which code for proteins involved in methionine or cysteine biosynthesis in Gram-positive bacteria. The SAM riboswitch acts at the level of transcription termination control. The record is from RNAcentral.
CUUAUCCGGAGUGACGGAGUGAACAGGCACUAUGAAGUCCGGCAACCUACCAUAUUGGCAAGGUGCUAAAUCCUGCGGUUCUGCCGAAAGAUGAG